Molecule: ribosomal RNA, 721 nt
Filed under: uncultured bacterium
Lineage: Bacteria
Description: bacterial SSU rRNA
Rfam family: Bacterial small subunit ribosomal RNA
Source: RNAcentral
GCAGUCGAGCGGUAGAGAGAAGCUUGCUUCUCUUGAGAGCGGCGGACGGGUGAGUAAUGCCUAGGAAUCUGCCUGGUAGUGGGGGAUAACGUCCGGAAACGGACGCUAAUACCGCAUACGUCCUACGGGAGAAAGCAGGGGACCUUCGGGCCUUGCGCUAUCAGAUGAGCCUAGGUCGGAUUAGCUAGUUGGUGGGGUAAUGGCUCACCAAGGCGACGAUCCGUAACUGGUCUGAGAGGAUGAUCAGUCACACUGGAACUGAGACACGGUCCAGACUCCUACGGGAGGCAGCAGUGGGGAAUAUUGGACAAUGGGCGAAAGCCUGAUCCAGCCAUGCCGCGUGUGUGAAGAAGGUCUUCGGAUUGUAAAGCACUUUAAGUUGGGAGGAAGGGCAGUAAAUUAAUACUUUGCUGUUUUGACGUUACCGACAGAAUAAGCACCGGCUAACUCUGUGCCAGCAGCCGCGGUAAUACAGAGGGUGCAAGCGUUAAUCGGAAUUACUGGGCGUAAAGCGCGCGUAGGUGGUUCGUUAAGUUGGAUGUGAAAUCCCCGGGCUCAACCUGGGAACUGCAUUCAAAACUGACGAGCUAGAGUAUGGUAGAGGGUGGUGGAAUUUCCUGUGUAGCGGUGAAAUGCGUAGAUAUAGGAAGGAACACCAGUGGCGAAGGCGACCACCUGGACUGAUACUGACACUGAGGUGCGAAAGCGUGGGGAGCAAACA